RNAcentral lists this non-coding RNA (24 nucleotides) under Arabidopsis thaliana (thale cress). The record is from RNAcentral. Lineage: Eukaryota; Viridiplantae; Streptophyta; Magnoliopsida; Brassicales; Brassicaceae.
AGGAGAUACUCACACUUGACGCCA